This 504-nucleotide ribosomal RNA is filed under the name uncultured bacterium. Its description in RNAcentral is "partial 16S ribosomal RNA". It matches the Rfam family "Bacterial small subunit ribosomal RNA", at positions 30 to 523 of the family's 1533-position model. The record is from RNAcentral.
AUUGAACGCUGGCGGCAGGCCUAACACAUGCAAGUCGAACGGUAGCACAGAGAGCUUGCUCUCGGGUGACGAGUGGCGGACGGGUGAGUAAUGUCUGGGAAACUGCCUGAUGGAGGGGGAUAACUACUGGAAACGGUAGCUAAUACCGCAUAACGUCGCAAGACCAAAGAGGGGGACCUUCGGGCCUCUUGCCAUCAGAUGUGCCCAGAUGGGAUUAGCUAGUAGGUGGGGUAACGGCUCACCCAGGCGACGAUCCCUAGCUGGUCUGAGAGGAUGACCAGCCACACUGGAACUGAGACACGGUCCAGACUCCUACGGGAGGCAGCAGUGGGGAAUAUUGCACAAUGGGCGCAAGCCUGAUGCAGCCAUGCCGCGUGUAUGAAGAAGGCCUUCGGGUUGUAAAGUACUUUCAGCGGGGAGGAAGGUGUUGUGGUUAAUAACCGCAGCAAUUGACGUUACCCGCAGAAGAAGCACCGGCUGACUCCGUGCCAGCAGCCGCCGUAA